UACGUAGGUGGCGAGCGUUGUCCGGAAUUACUGGGUGUAAAGCGCGUGUAGGCGGCAGGCCAAGUCGGUGGUGAAAGCGCCCGGCUCAACUGGGCGAGGUCCAUGGAAACUGGUCAGCUGGAGGACGGUAGAGGCGAGUGGAAUUCCCGGUGUAGUGGUGAAAUGCGUAGAGAUCGGGAGGAACACCUGUGGCGAAGGCGGGUCGUCUGGGCCGAGUACUGACGCUGAGGAGCGAAAGCGUGGGGAGCGAACAGG
Molecule: ribosomal RNA, 255 nt
Filed under: uncultured bacterium
Lineage: Bacteria
Description: partial 16S ribosomal RNA
Rfam family: Bacterial small subunit ribosomal RNA
Source: RNAcentral